Long non-coding RNA from Amphiprion ocellaris (clown anemonefish), 1597 nucleotides. RefSeq lists it as uncharacterized. Lineage: Eukaryota; Metazoa; Chordata; Actinopteri; Pomacentridae. The transcript is spliced from 8 exons. The record is from RefSeq and is a predicted model, not a curated record.
UUUUUCUGAAAGCACAGCAUGGUUUGUGGUAUGAGACUUAAGUUUCAGAGCUGUGCGCCCCUGUGCGCAUGUCCAUUUCCGGUUAUGGCGCAUUUACCGGAAGCAAGCGGUCAAAGCCGCAGACCCAGGGCUCUCACGGAAGGUUGACUCUAACGUUGAUUUCGACUGUCUUAGGUGGUGUCUGGCAGUGAAGUUGGUGGCAGUUUGAAAAGAGGUACCCUCGGUCACCAAGACUUUGUUGGCCACCAGGGUACCAGAUAAUCAUCUUACCCAGCCAGACCAGCUCAGCAAACGCAGUUUUCAUGUCUGUACACCUCCUCCUCACUGCUGCGUCAUUGAUAAGAAGCUCUCUCAGUAGACUUGACCAAAAAUCUUUGAGACGAUCCAGACUGUACAAGCACAAGUUUACAAGUAAAGAAAGGACAAUCCUCAAAAAGAAAGUCUUGGAUUGUGGCCAACUGUCCUCCACUGAGAAUCAAAUCAGGUCUUUGCUGAGUUCUACAGAGUUGCCAGUAAGAACCUUAAGAAAGAGUUCUACGAAGCUCUUGACCACCACACCACUCGUCUCAUUGACCUCUUCAAAUCCAGAAAAGGAGUUGUCGGCCCAUCACUUGGUCACCUCCUCCAGCCAAUCAAUUCACAAACCAAUGACAUCACCACGACACGCACUGUUGUCCUGCAAUGUCUGCCCCUGUAUCUUGGAGAUAAUUCCAGUGAAUUCUUCCUCAGCUGCUCAGAUUCAGACACUGCAGAUGACUUCACUCAGGUGCCUGUUGGGGUUCUUAACGUCAUGACCAGCGACAUGCCACCACUGAUUAACAGCGUUGCAAUCAUCCUUGAAGGAAACCUCAUCAUGGAUGACAUUCCUACAACCUCUCAAGCACUUUGUCUUCUCUUUGGCUUAAUAUAUGCACUUCAUCUGGAUUACCCCAAAGGUUUCCCAGAGACUAUGGGGUUGAGGAGGAAUUGGAAGUUUGUCAGCUUAGACCUGGUGUCAUUCCAUCAGUGUUAAACUUCCCGGCUCAUCUUGGAAGAGUACGUGCCAGAAAGACCACGACCAAGCAGCCUUGAGAUCUUAGGCAGCGUCUCCCUGAGUUCAAAGGUCCCUCUCUAUCUCCCCACACAUCCACCAACCACUGGAACACAUCUCCAAAGUUCUGCCGGGCCAGCUCAGCUUCCCCUCAGAAGAAGUGCUGCCACCUGCCAGAUGAAGGAGCCUUUUGAGAGGCAGCUGGCAUCGUGAUUGGACUGUACUUUGGUCUGUUCCAAUCCAGCUUCAGCUCCAGAGACGGCAGGCGGGACGAGUCAACGGAGGCCGGGUGGACGAAGGCAUGCAGCUGAGUACAAUCCAGAAAACAACAGAGGAGGAGUGCAGGGCCAGAACAACCAGAGUAGCAUCGUAUGUCUCUUAGAAAACAUCAUAGUAUAGCCUUUGGUAUGAAAAAACGCCAUCAUAUACAUCGUAUAUUGUACAAAUAACAAGUCAAAGGAAAGAGACAUACAUUGUAGAAUUGUAGUAAUUGUGGGCUGACUGAUUUACUGAUUAUCAGUAUUUUAUUUUUUACUGAUUUACGGUAAUAAAUACAUUUAAAAAUGG